CAAUAGCGUAUAUUAAAGUUGUUGCAGUUAAAAAGCUCGUAGUUGGAUUUCGGGACGGGCCAGUUGGUCCGCCGCAAGGUGUGUUACUGACUGGUCUGUUCUUCUUCGCAAAGACUGCGUGUGCUCUUCGUUGAGUGUGCGUAGGAUUUACGACGUUUACUUUGAAAAAAUUAGAGUGUUCAAAGCAGGCUAUCGCUUGAAUACAUGAGCAUGGAAUAAUGGAGUAGGACUUUGGUCCUAUUUUGUUGGUUUCUAGGACCGAAGUAAUGAUUAAGAGGGACAAUUGGGGGCAUCCGUAUUUCGUUGUCAGAGGUGAAAUUCUUGGAUUUACGAAAGACGAACAACUGCGAAAGCACUUGCCAAGAGUGUUUUCAUUAA
RNAcentral lists this ribosomal RNA (378 nucleotides) under uncultured eukaryote. Its description in RNAcentral is "partial 18S ribosomal RNA". It matches the Rfam family "Eukaryotic small subunit ribosomal RNA", at positions 592 to 976 of the family's 1831-position model. The record is from RNAcentral.